GGUCCAUUGGAGCAGGGGAUGAUCUCGCCUCCCUGGCACGGAGGAGAUCGGGGGUUCAAAUCCCAUAUGGACCG
RNAcentral lists this transfer RNA (74 nucleotides) under Lactobacillus crispatus. RNAcentral describes it as "tRNA-Ala". It matches the Rfam family "tRNA". From Rfam's summary of the family: Transfer RNA (tRNA) molecules are approximately 80 nucleotides in length. Their secondary structure includes four short double-helical elements and three loops (D, anti-codon, and T loops). Lineage: Bacteria; Bacillati; Bacillota; Bacilli; Lactobacillales; Lactobacillaceae. The record is from RNAcentral.